RNAcentral lists this ribosomal RNA (104 nucleotides) under uncultured Methanococcus sp. RNAcentral describes it as "partial 16S ribosomal RNA". It matches the Rfam family "Archaeal small subunit ribosomal RNA", at positions 339 to 444 of the family's 1478-position model. Lineage: Archaea; Methanobacteriati; Methanobacteriota; Methanococci; Methanococcales; Methanococcaceae. The record is from RNAcentral.
GCGCGAAACCUCCGCAAUGCACGAAAGUGCGACGGGGGGAUCCCAAGUGCUCAUGCACAGCAUGGGCUUUUAUCAAGUGUAAACAGCUUGAGGAAUAAGGCUGG